CACAGCAUUUUAAAUCAUUUAGGAUCAAAUUUUCAAAAAAAGAGGCCUAAGGAAGCAUUGAAAUUCAAUGUUAGUUGGCUGCCUGACUCCCUUAGGCAUAUUUGAAAAUCCCAGCAUAAGUAGUAUAAACACCUGUUAGCUUUUUUCCUAUAACUUCUGGACACUGAGAUUAUACCCAAAGCAUUGACAAGUGACAGUUUUUUUCUAGUGGUUAAAGAACCAGACAGUUAAGAACUGCAAGUAUUAUUUCCAGCUCUGCCAAAGAUUUGAUGUGUGAUCUUCGGCUAUUCACAUCCUCAGUUACAUCCAUUUUGCAGACAGGAGAAAACACCUCUCUCAUAGGGUUAUUGCUCAGAGUCAAAGUUUGCAAACUGCUUAAACACCCUCUGAUGGAAACUGUUACAGGAAUGUAAAAAUAUUUUUCACCCCAAUAGCAUGUGUCAAAAUGCUACUUUCACAUAACAAAAGAUCCAAUAUACGGCCCAUAAUCUGUAUUUGGUUUAAAUCUUUUAGUCACAGAAGCUAACUUUUAGUCUGAGCCAUCUAUGGAAAAGCCCUACAUACACUGAUGACAUAACCGAUCAGGAAUGCUGAUAAUAUGCUCUGUCCAAACCCAACUGAGACUGAUUUCUCUGUGAAGGGGUCUGCAUCAAAGAAAAACAUCUUAGUUGGUUAAAACAAAUCACAUUUAUUCUGCUCAUUUGCAGUCCUCCUAAUCUGCUUCCUAAUUCUCCUUCCGUACUGAGUACAGAUCAGAAUUCUCUUGUAGGUCACUAGGCCAACAGUGUGUUUAGCUCUACUAGUAAGACAUUGUGGUGAGACAGAAAUUUUGGGAACUGGUUUUUCCUCCUCAUGUAACACCCCCCCCCCCAACCUCGUAAGUGUUCUUACUUUACAAAAAAGCAUCUCAAUAUGCAACCUAAUCUUCAAUAUCCUUGAUUUUAAAUGCAUCUGUACAAAUCUGAUCGGGACUGCGCAAGGCUCUCCUGUGAAAUUAUGGGCCUUCAUGGCAAAGCUGCUCAGCAUUGUAAAGUCAAGAGAGGGUCUAAAGUCUUGAAGUUCAGAUCAAGAAUUAAACAAACAAACAGUUUCACUAUUUUUUCAUAAGCGCAAAAUUGAAUUUCUCCAACAGCUUUUCUAACAGAAUAUCACAUUUCAGAAAAAGAUUCUGUUCACCUCUAUGAAAAGCCAUUUAGUACUAAUAUUUGUGGAUUGGUAGCAAGUAGCUGCUACAAACAGGCUAACUAUAAGGACUGCAGAGAGAAUCUUUUUUGCUUUCAUGUACCACAUAUGUUUUUCUUGCUUGUAAAGUCAAACCAAGUUUGCUGUGUAAACAUGAAAGCUUAGCAUCCCAGAAUAUUGAACGUCAAUAAGAUCCAGAUAACGAAGGGAAAUUCUAAACUUGUUGAAAUGGGUAAUCAGUUUAAAAAACAAAUUAUAAGAAGAUACUUUCUAAUUUUUUUUUUUAUUGCUCUGCAGACUUCUGGAACUUUUAUUACUUCUCAGCUCUUAUUCCAUAAAUGAAAUCAUACAUGCUUGAAAAUCUGUCAGACAGACAAGAUGGAUGAUCACCUCCAACUGGUAAAGCUUCUUAUUUCUAGCUUCUACUUCUACCAUUCAAUUUUUAGUAAUAAAAUUGUGACGUGCGGCUCUUAAACAUCAGUGCUCACAGAAGCAUUUUCUUGUGACAAUUUCACUAGGAAAUAGCUUUGCAAGUUUUCAUAUCUGGUACAAUCUGACAGAUGAGAAGAGCCCAAAUCUUUCAUCUGUACAUCUCUGUCUUAGAUAUAGAUUUGUUUCAAUAUUUCAGUCCAAGGAGCAAGGAAGUAAUACUAAUGCAGAUUACAUUUUUAAUUCUCAGAUCACACAGUGCCUGUUUUUUCAGGUACUAACGAAGACCAAAUAUCAAGCCUAGCUAUUAAGAUAAACUAUAUCUGAAACCAUGUCAGAAGAAUUGUGCUACACCGUGUGCAUUUCCCCAACAUAAGCUAGGAAGCCUAGAUAGAAAUUGAAGUAGAACAAUUAUACCCAAGAGAAAUGUAAGUGCACCGUAAAAGCACAAAACUGUGAACUUUGAAAUUAAAAACUCAUUGUAAAAAUAAAAUACUUUGUUGACAGUUUCAGUUUCUUCAGAUCAACCACAUUAGGGUUGUUAAGAUUUCCAUCAGAGAUCAUUCUGGUUCUAGAUUUCUGAGGCUUCUUUAAAACAGAAUAUUCUAAGAAUGUUGAACUCUAGGAUGAAUGAACAUACUAGCUAGAAAUUAAAGAGGCAUGUGAAUUUUUAAAAAUUCUUACCCAAGUUAUAUGAGAGAGAGAGAGAGAGAGAAAGAAAGAACACACUAGGAGGAGGAGGUAGCCUGCUUUGCAUGUACUCUUUGAAGAUAUUGCAAGGAGGGAUUAACAGAGUGACAACGUGUAGAAUACGGAGGCAGAAGGGAACAGAAAAACAACGAAAGGCCCGAUAAAACCUAUUUUCUUGAGUAAGCAUCCAAACUUUUGGAGUUCAUCACUGGUUGUGUGUAUUUCUGAAAAUACUGGAAAUAGGAUUUUACCUGGUUUCACAUAUAUUUUUGCAAAGUUAUGCAGUUGGGUUGAAACACACACCUGAUUAAAUAUGGCAAAGAAUGGGAUUUAGUAAGGUUUUUUUUUUUUGCUCUUAGUUUAGCAGGAUAUUUUAACAACAACCUGAAAACUUUGUUUUGAGGCCCUAAUGAAUUAAAGAAUAUAAAAAUGAAGUUCACUGGAAUGUGUGUGCGCCUGCCUUCCUCCGCACCCUCACCAGUGAUUGGGGAACUGUCCCAGGAUAAAAAAUUUUAAUAUUGGCUACAUUACAUACUCUGCUGAAUAGAAUUUUUAGGUAAGUGAUCUCUAAAUAUUUCUUCAUGACGCAUUUUGGUGGUUCUUUUAAUACUUCUCCCAAAAAGAUUCUGGGUGCAGUCUCUGCCCUAAAGGAAAAAAAGGUUAUGUAUUUAAUUAUCAGCACUCUGUGCUCAUUGGUUAUCUCCUAGCAAUGGAAAAUGUAAAAGAAUCAGCGUAGUUGCCUGACCACCUGUAACCUUUGAUGCAACUGACUAUGAGGUUUUGUUGACUUAGACAGUGAACUGUAGCAGGAGUGGAUGGUAUAGCCGGUCUUGGAAAUCCCAAAUGAUGAUUUUAGGAGUAAUUACUAUUUCACGGGGAGCAUAUAUCACAAGCUCAUCAGCAACUAUUGGCUUUCUAUGUUCCUUUCAGAUGCAGUUAGCGCUGAUCAAUAAAGCUAGCGAGCAAAACAUAUUGGAGUUUAUAGUUCUUUGCUGCUCAGAUAGUCCUGUGGCACCUUAUAGACUAACAGAAGUUUUGGAGCAUGAGCUUUCAUGGGUGAAUACCCACUUCGU
Chelonoidis abingdonii (Abingdon island giant tortoise) is the source of this 3374-nucleotide non-coding RNA. The record is from RefSeq and is a predicted model, not a curated record. Lineage: Eukaryota; Metazoa; Chordata; Testudines; Testudinidae.